UCCCUGGUGGCUCAGAUGGUAAAGAAUCUGCCUGCAAUGCAGGAGACCUGGGUUCAAUCCCUGGGUAGGGAA
RNAcentral lists this transfer RNA (72 nucleotides) under Ovis aries (sheep). It matches the Rfam family "tRNA". From Rfam's summary of the family: Transfer RNA (tRNA) molecules are approximately 80 nucleotides in length. Their secondary structure includes four short double-helical elements and three loops (D, anti-codon, and T loops). Lineage: Eukaryota; Metazoa; Chordata; Mammalia; Artiodactyla; Bovidae. RNAcentral also lists the same sequence under 1 other name. The record is from Rfam by way of RNAcentral.